Molecule: unclassified non-coding RNA, 648 nt
Filed under: Hevea brasiliensis (rubber tree)
Lineage: Eukaryota; Viridiplantae; Streptophyta; Magnoliopsida; Malpighiales; Euphorbiaceae
Source: RNAcentral
CAUGCUAAGCUGAGUUUCAAUGACUGCUAUCUAGAAGUUUUUGAAAUUUUUGAUUGCUUCUGAUGAUUCAUUUAGUCCGGUUUUGGUUUCCAAUCUGUCCUUGGACACACAUUUGAUUGUGUAUUAUAAUGGUUUUAACUGCUUCAAGUCCACUGUAUGAGACCCUGAGUUAAUGUACUAAUUUAUCUCAUAUGAGAGUGGUUACAUUAAUAUGUUAAAACACUGUUGACUGUUGUGGUCUGCAGAACAUGUUGAGUGACAAUCACUUUGAUUUAAGCUUUGCCUCAAGUAAAAAUACAAUUGAAGUGAAAUGACUUCACAUGCUAAUAUUGUCUUCUGGGCUGUCUUUGUUGCACAGCUUAAGUGGGAAAUUGGGAUAGCGAUGUAAUAUGCAUUAGUUAUUGGAAAUUGCAGAUUAUGCUGGUAACUGAUAAGCUUAGCAAUGUUCUCCUUGUUUUACAAUAUAAUAAAAAAAUGCAAGAUGCCAUAAUUUUUACAAAAAUUCUUUGUGCGUCUGAACAGUAAUUUAUCCCAACUGCAUAUUUGACAUAUAUAAUGAAAUCAUGACAGCACCUUGGCCCAGUAGCAUGAGAACUUCCCAAAAAUCCAAAAUUCCUUAUCUGUGAAAGGCUUGACAAACAUGUAAGA